RNAcentral lists this transfer RNA (75 nucleotides) under Fidelibacterota bacterium. RNAcentral's name for it is "tRNA-Pro". It matches the Rfam family "tRNA". Rfam says of the family: Transfer RNA (tRNA) molecules are approximately 80 nucleotides in length. Their secondary structure includes four short double-helical elements and three loops (D, anti-codon, and T loops). Lineage: Bacteria; Pseudomonadati; Fidelibacterota. The record is from RNAcentral.
CGAGGUGUAGCGUAGUCCGGUUAGGGCACCUGCUUUGGGAGCAGGGGGUCGGGAGUUCGAAGCUCUCCACCUCGA